GAUGAACGCUGGCGGCGUGCUUAACACAUGCAAGUCGAACGGUGAAGGCGGAGCUUGCUCUGCUAGAUCAGUGGCGAACGGGUGAGUAACACGUGAGCAAUCUGCCCCUGACUCUGGGAUAAGCGCUGGAAACGGCGUCUAAUACUGGAUACGAGCUGCGAAGGCAUCUUCAGCAGCUGGAAAGAAUUUCGGUCAGGGAUGAGCUCGCGGCCUAUCAGCUUGUUGGUGAGGUAAUGGCUCACCAAGGCGUCGACGGGUAGCCGGCCUGAGAGGGUGACCGGCCACACUGGGACUGAGACACGGCCCAGACUCCUACGGGAGGCAGCAGUGGGGAAUAUUGCACAAUGGGCGAAAGCCUGAUGCAGCAACGCCGCGUGAGGGACGACGGCCUUCGGGUUGUAAACCUCUUUUAGCAGGGAAGAAGCGAAAGUGACGGUACCUGCAGAAAAAGCGCCGGCUAACUACGUG
Molecule: ribosomal RNA, 468 nt
Filed under: uncultured bacterium
Lineage: Bacteria
Description: partial 16S ribosomal RNA
Rfam family: Bacterial small subunit ribosomal RNA
Source: RNAcentral